UCGCCGGUCGCCGCCACCCCGGCCACCUGCUCGCCGCCCGCCCGCUCGCCGGUCGCCGCCGCCCCGGCCGCCUGCUCGUCGUGGCCGCUCGCGCCGCCCGCGUCGCCCGCCCCGCCCGCACGCGCGUGAAUGGCAGGCGUGGCGCCCUCCGCCUCCGCGCGCCAGAUAUCCCACACGCACUUCAUCGAGCAGCUCCGCCGCGCCGCCCGCGCCCGCGACGGCGAGGCGCUCCACGCCUGGGCGCUCAAGUCCGGCGCCGCGUCCCACGCGCCCGUCUCCAACUCCCUCAUCACCUUCUACGCCUCCCUCCCGCGGCCGCUCCUCGCCGCGGCCCUGGCCGUCUUCGCGGGCAUCCCCACCGCCGCCCGCGACGUCGCCUCCUGGAACUCCCUGCUCAACCCGCUCUCGCACCACCACCCGCGCGCCGCGCUCUCCAACUUCCGCUCCAUGAUGUUCUCGUCCUCGCCCGCCAUCCUCCCGUCCCCGCACUCCUUUGCCGCCGUCUUCACGGCCGCCGGCCGCGCGCGCUCCGCGUCCGCCGGAGCCGCCGCCCACGCUCUCGCUUGCAAGGUCCCCUCGGCUACCUCCAACGUGUUCGUGUCCACCGCUCUGCUCAGCAUGUACUGCAAGCUGGACCUCGUCCCCGAUGCCCGGAGAGUGUUCGACGAAAUGCCGCUGCGGAACGAGUUCUCCUGGGCCGCUAUGGUGGCGGGCUAUGCUUCCACAAAGUGCUCCGAGGAGGCCUUUGAGAUCUUCCAGUUGAUGCUUGCAGAGUGCCCGUCACAGAAAAAUGAGUUUGUGGCUACGGCAGUUCUUAGUGCGGUCAGUGUGCCGUCGGGCUUGCCGAUGGGGGUGCAGCUGCAUGGGUUGGCUGUGAAGGAUGGGUUGGUGGUUUUUGUGUCGGUUGAAAACUCGCUUGUCACGAUGUAUGCAAAGGCUGGGUGUAUGGAUGCAGCAUUACAUGUGUUUGCGUCGUCUAAGGAGAGGAACUCCAUCACUUGGUCCGCGAUGAUCACUGGCUACGCGCAGAAUGGGAAUGCAGAAAGCGCAUUUAGAAUGUUCUUGCAGAUGCUUGCUGCAGGGUUUUCACCAACUGAGUUCACUUUGGUCGGGGUGCUCAAUGCUUGUAGUGAUGUGGGAGCAUUGAUGGAAGGAAAGCAGACACAUGGUUUGAUGGUGAAGCUUGGGUUUGAGGUGCAGGUGUAUGUGAAGAGCGCACUGGUGGACAUGUAUGCCAAAUGCGGAUGUAUUACUGAUGCAAAGGAAGGUUUUGAUCAAUUUCAUGAGCUUGACAUUGUCCUUUGGACGGCUAUGGUUGCCGGGCAUGUGCAGAAUGGGGAGUAUGAGGAAGCCUUGAGGUUGUAUGCCAGGAUGGACAAGGAGGGCAUCAUUCCGACUAACUUGACUAUAACUAGUGUUCUGAAAGCAUGUGCUGGCCUUGCAGCAUUGGAGCCAGGGAAGCAAUUGCACACUCAGAUCCUGAAGUUCGGGUUUGGUUUGGGGUCUUCUGUCGGAAGUGCCUUGUCUACAAUGUAUUCAAAGUGUGGAAACCUUGACGAUGGCACGGUUGUAUUCAGAAGGAUGCCUCAUAAGGAUGUUAUUGCAUGGAACUCGAUCAUUUCUGGAUUCUCUCAAAAUGGACGUGGAAAUGAAGCACUUGACCUGUUUGAGGAGAUGAAGCUAGAGGGCACUGCUCCAGAUCAUAUAACAUUCAUUAAUGUGUUAUGUGCUUGUAGUCACAUGGGCCUAGUUGACAGAGGAUGGAUUUACUUUAGGUCAAUGACCAAAGACUAUGGUUUAACUCCUAGGCUGGAUCAUUAUGCUUGCAUGGUUGAUAUUCUUAGCAGAGCAGGGAUGCUAAAUGAAGCAAAAGAUUUCAUAGAGUCCAUUAGUAUUGACCAUGGAACAUGUUUGUGGCGUAUAUUAUUGGGAGCAUGUCGCAGUAUACGGGAUUUUGAUGUCGGGGCAUAUGCAGGUGAGCAGCUGAUGGAAUUAGGUACUGGGGACUCCUCUGCAUAUAUAUUGUUGUCAAACAUCUAUGCUGCCCAGAGAAAAUGGACUGAUGUUGAGCGGGUGAGGCAUUUGAUGAGAUCUAGGGGAGUUAGCAAAGAUCCAGGAUGCAGCUGGGUUGAGCUUAACAGCAAAAUUCAUGUGUUUGUUGUUGGGGAGCAGCAACAUCCUGAGGCGGAAAAUAUAAAUACAGAGUUGAGAAGGCUUGCUAAACACAUGAAGGACGAAGGGUACCGUCCAACAUCUAAAUUUUCAUGGGAGGAAGAACUGGAUACAUUGGGAGAAUCUCAUGAAGAAGAUCAAUUCGAGUUGAUAUCGGCAGUUUCUAGCUGACUUCUCAAAUGACAAGAACACACAUCAACUUGGUAGGAGAGAGCACUCAUCAUCUCCCAAACAGGGCAGUAAAUGCACCAGCAUGGUCACACUGUUCACGGAAGGUUUGUGAUAUACUCAGGCUGAUGUGACCGUAAAGCUACACCUGUAACUAAAGAUGGACAAAAAUUCAGUAAUGUUCAUACAGAAAAUCAUGGAUGCACACCAUCUAUUCAGUUUGUAAAAGCAAAAUCUGCGCUUGCUAAGCAACGCUUUUUUCUUUCCAAGCAUGUGCACUGAGUACCCAUGCUGGAAAUAGAAGAUUCCUCCUCUGGGUAUUGUGUUACAACUAAGAGUGCAACCGACAUGAAUGCACUACAAACAACACGAACUCAGGAAACAUUUCAGGACAAGUGGAAUAAUGCCACUAAGAAAAAAUAUGUAUCAAAGUACUAUGCAUCCUAUAUAUCAAGGACAAGGAGAGGAGGAUGGCAGCCGAGGAUAGGAGGGCGGUGACGGAGGAGAAGAAGGCGGAGGUUGAGGAGAGGAAUGUGGUCAUGGAAGAGAGAAUCAAAAGCAUUAAACGAGAGCAAAAGUUCAUGUUCAUGGAUACAAGUGGUCUUGAUGACAAGGCGAAAGCAUACGUGGAGCUUUAUCGUGAUCAAGUGUUGCGAUGAGGUCUAUGGGAGGCUUCAUGAUGGGAGGAUUCAUGGGAGGCAUGGGAGGAGCCAUGGGCAGCAUGGGAGGAUUCAUAGGUGCCAUGGGCGCCAUGGGAGGAGGCAUGGGUGGUGCAAUGGAUGGGAAUGAAAAACAAUGGGUGGUGCAUUGGAGAAGAAGCAAUCAAUGGAGAGGAAGCAAGCCAUGAAGACGAUGCAAGCACAACUAAUGGCAAUGGAGGCAAUGCCAUUUGAGAGGCUAUGCAUUCAUUUUGUAUGCACUUUUGUUUUUGUUUGCGAUGCACAAUGAUUGUGGUUUGAAUUUGAAUUUAAUAUACAGAUGAUUGAACUUGAAUUUGAUAUGUUGAUUAUCAUCUUGCAAAGUUUUAAUCAUGCCGUCAUGUUUUGUUUCAAUAUGUAUGCAAUUGCGAAGUGAAAAGAAAGAA
Triticum aestivum (bread wheat) is the source of this 3424-nucleotide RNA transcript. It is a transcript of the gene named pentatricopeptide repeat-containing protein At2g33680, with no coding region annotated. Lineage: Eukaryota; Viridiplantae; Streptophyta; Magnoliopsida; Poales; Poaceae. The record is from RefSeq and is a predicted model, not a curated record. The transcript has 6 exons.